RNAcentral lists this ribosomal RNA (227 nucleotides) under Flavobacteriales bacterium. Its description in RNAcentral is "partial 23S ribosomal RNA". It matches the Rfam family "Bacterial large subunit ribosomal RNA", at positions 2687 to 2925 of the family's 2925-position model. The record is from RNAcentral. Lineage: Bacteria; Pseudomonadati; Bacteroidota; Flavobacteriia; Flavobacteriales.
GAGGACCGUGGUGGACGAACCGCUAGUGUACCAGUUGUGGCGCCAGCUGCAUCGCUGGGUAGCUAUGUUCGGACGGGAUAAGCGCUGAAAGCAUCUAAGCACGAAGCCCACCUCAAGAUGAGACUUCUUCAUAAGGGUCGUAGAAGACUACUACGUUGAUAGGCCACAGGUGUAAAGUCAGCAAUGGCAAAGCCGAGUGGUACUAAUUACCCGUAGACUUUGACCUU